This 468-nucleotide ribosomal RNA is filed under the name uncultured bacterium. RNAcentral's name for it is "partial 16S ribosomal RNA". It matches the Rfam family "Bacterial small subunit ribosomal RNA", at positions 28 to 507 of the family's 1533-position model. The record is from RNAcentral.
GACGAACGCUGGCGGCGUGCUUAACACAUGCAAGUCGAACGGAAAGGCCCUGCUUUUGUUGGGUGCUCGAGUGGCGAACGGGUGAGUAACACGUGAGUAACCUGCCCUUGACUUUGGGAUAACUUCAGGAAACUGGGGCUAAUACCGGAUAGGAGCUCCUGCUGCAUGGUGGUGGUUGGAAAGUUUCGGCGGUUGGGGAUGGACUCGCGGCUUAUCAGCUUGUUGGUGGGGUAGUGGCUUACCAAGGCUUUGACGGGUAGCCGGCCUGAGAGGGUGACCGGCCACAUUGGGACUGAGAUAGGGCCCAGACUCCUACGGGCGGCAGUAGUGGGGAAUAUUGCACAAUGGGCGGAAGCCUGAUGCAGCAACGCCGCGUGCGGGAUGACCGCCUUCGGGUUGUAAACCGCUUUCGCCUGUGACGAAGAGUGAGUGACGGUAAUGGGUAAAGAAGCACCGGCUAACUACGUG